This is a long non-coding RNA of Glycine soja, 558 nucleotides long. RefSeq lists it as uncharacterized. The transcript has 4 exons. The record is from RefSeq and is a predicted model, not a curated record. NCBI's taxonomy places the organism in Eukaryota, Viridiplantae, Streptophyta, Magnoliopsida, Fabales, Fabaceae.
GUCGUUGAAGAAUUUCAAGACACUUCUCUGGAUGCUCUAUUCCGUGAAGAUGACAGUGAGAUGCUUGGAGAUGAUUCAGACAGUGACGGAUUUCUUUCAGAGUUUUAAAUUUAAUUUAUUGCUAAUAAUCUUGUUAUUUUAAAUUUUUCAUUUGCUCUAGCUAUUGCAUACUUGGUGUAUUGAUUUCUCGAGUUUGUGACCAGGACUCAAGCUUUUCACAUGUUAUUGGAAGUGACGAUGAAAAUGAAAAUUAUAUUGGGAACAGCAACGGUGCUAGUUCCUUAUCAGUGCAAAACAAAGAUAUUUGUGCAGAACUUUUGAAGAAAGCAAAAAAGUUGAACAAACUGAAAGAAAAGGAUCUAGGGUUUUCUAAAUUUCUAGAAAGUUAUAAUAUGAAGAUCGAACAAACCGAAUAUGAAGAAAUUAGUUCAGAUGAUGAAAAAAGCUUAGAUUGGGUGCAGCCAGCGGAUAACAACAAUGCAUGUUCUCAUGCAGGUAAACUGUUGACAAGUGCAUCUGUUGAUUCAUUGUGUAAACUGGUCAAAGAACAGUGUAGUG